RNAcentral lists this long non-coding RNA (301 nucleotides) under Capsicum annuum. Its description in RNAcentral is "long non-coding RNA (CANN_LNC020669)". The record is from RNAcentral. Lineage: Eukaryota; Viridiplantae; Streptophyta; Magnoliopsida; Solanales; Solanaceae.
CUGUUUUGAUAAGCUAAAGUAGAUUGACCAUAAAUCUUUGCUUGGAUAUCGGAUUUGGGUGAAAUUGGUAUCGUUGGAUAAUUCAAAGGGCUUUCAUUUCAUAUAAAGUAGGCCACCCAGUUCGUCCUGUACAAGGAGUUAUGGUCGUUUGAAGUUGACCCUAAAAAUCUGUUUUGAUAGGCUGAAGUAAAACGAGUAUAACUCCUUACUCAGAUGUUGGAUUUGGAUGAAACCAAUUGCAUUGGAAAGAAGACUCAAAGAUCUUUCUUUUCAUAGGUAAGGAAGUUAUGAUCAUUCAAAG